Molecule: non-coding RNA, 73 nt
Organism: Trichonephila clavipes
Lineage: Eukaryota; Metazoa; Arthropoda; Arachnida; Araneae; Nephilidae
Source: the annotation of a GenBank genome assembly
UUCAGGAUGGCCGAGUGGUAAUGGCAUCGGACUUCUACUGUUAUGUCCGCAGGUUCAAUUCCUGCUCCUGAAU